Oncorhynchus tshawytscha (Chinook salmon) is the source of this 1838-nucleotide long non-coding RNA. The record is from Ensembl. NCBI's taxonomy places the organism in Eukaryota, Metazoa, Chordata, Actinopteri, Salmoniformes, Salmonidae.
GACAUCAGAUUCACUCUACAUAGAGACCAGUACAGCACAGAGAUCCAGCCAUGGCACCUACAAUCACUUCAGCUGUGAUCUACUCUAAUGAGCACCUGACUCUGACCAACAAGAUAAGAAAGCCAGUGGUUGAGAAGUUACGCAGAGAUAGUUUCAACAACAGCAUUGAGAAGCUCAAGUCUCUCUUGGAGAGAGCCUCAACCAGCAGCCAGAUUUCAAAAUGGAGAAAGCCGACAUCUUAGAGAUGACAGUUUGGUUCGUGAGACGACAGCAACAGAACCAGCCAGUGAGCUCCUCCUCAGCACCAUUCAAUCAGGGUUACUCAGGUGUGUCCAAGAGAUUGUGCACUUCCUGACCAAGGAUGAGGUGAAGACACAAACCCAGAGAGACUGCUGAGCCACUUCCAGAGCCUGCAUCCAUCCUCUGAUAAGAAAAGGAGGGAGAGUGACCUGCCUCAGUUCAGCUCAAAGGCCCAGUACAGCACCAGCAAAGAGAAGAGUCCAGUCCACACUGCUCUCUGGAGGCCCUGGUAAAGUCCUACAUACUGGAACUCCACUCUCAAACAAACGCAAUGCACCAUGUUGGUCUAACAUUAAUGUGAUGGACAGUGAUCAGAGAUCUUCUUCAUAUUCUGCUUGUGCAGGAUGUUAAAAGUCGUUUCGAUUGAAACUUUUCAUUUCAGUUGUACUGAACAAGUUAAAAUGUUUAUCUAAUAUAAAACACUGAAAUCUGCAUUUUUGUAACGUUAAUAACCUUUGUUUUGUGAAGCACCAUCAUGUGUUGAUUAUGUUGAUAAUUUGCUUAUUAAUGAUGAACUUCAACAGUCGUCCAUGAGGACUUCUAACCCAAAAUGUGUAUUAUAUCUUCCAUCUUUUUGUGAUGAUCUGUUACCGAUCUGUUUAAAGGUCAACACUUAUCAAGAAUAAGCUAUUUUGUUACAAUUGAAUUGUUGUAACGAUAUAGUCAUAUUAACAUUAUAUUGAGCAUCUUCUGUGAGGUAUGUAUCAGUAUUAGUUAACCAUUUGUUAUUGAUCAACUUGAGCUACAGAAUCACUGAUUCUCCAUGAUGAUUAUUUACCCACACUGGGAAUUGUACCUGUUAUCAUCACUCUGUGAUUAGAACUAAUUGAUUUGUUUAAAGAUCAGACUUUGUGUGAAAAUGUUGUUCAAAUUAUUUUAAUAAUGUGUUUAUUGUAACGGGUAGAAAAUGUUCUCUCUCAAUGUGAAACCUCAAUUUAUUUUGGACAAUAUGUUGUCUUUUAUAAAGACAGUAAAUGUGUAUCAUAUACUCUGUUCGAGUAUCAUAUGUCUUGGAGAUUGAUCCAAGUGUAAUGUGUAAUCACAUAAUCACACCUUAUAUUUAGGUGUCUAUGAUGCGACUCCUUGAGUCAAUGUCAAUAAAUCCCAAAAUAAUGAAAUUAAAUAAUUUUUUAUUGUUCUUGAUCUUUCCUGUAAUCGACAUAUUGACUGUAGACUACAAUGCAGAUCUACUGUAUAAGGUCAUACUUACUUUUGCAAUGAUUGGUAAUGAAGUUUUGGAAGAUUAAAAUAUUGCAUCGCAAUCAAGUAAUCUACAGUGGUCCCAGUUAUGAGCAGAAACAGAAAUAGUGAUGGCUGUAUGUGUCUAACAUGCCGAUCACAUGCAACACCAUCAAGCGUGCGGUCAGUAUGUCAGACACCUAAAGGAAUCACAAGUUGAAAUAUCAAAACAGACUCUGAACCAACCUUAUUAGAUUUGGGACAGGUCGAAAAGCAUGAAACAUUUAUGGAAAUUUAGCUAGCUAGCUAGCUUGCUGUUGCCAGCUAAUUUGGCCUGUGAUAUAAACAUUGAGUUGUUA